CUUCGGGGGUAGAGCACUGUUUCGGCUAGGGGGUCAUCCCGACUUACCAACCCGAUGCAAACUACGAAUACCGAAGAAUGUUAUCACGGGAGACACACGGCGGGGGCUAACGUCCGUCGUGAAGAGGGAAACAACCCAGACCGCCAGCUAAGGUCCCAAAGUCAUGGUUAAGUGGGAAACGAUGUGGGAAGGCACAGACAGCCAGGAUGUUGGCUUAGAAGCAGCCAUCAUUUAAAGAAAGCGUAAUAGCUCACUGGUCGAGUCGGCCUGCGCGGAAGAUGUAACGGGGCUAAACCAUGCACCGAAGCUGCGGCAGCGACGCUUAUGCGUUGUUGGGUAGGGGAGCGUUCUGUAAGCCUGCGAAGGUGGCCUGUGAGGGCUGCUGGAGGUAUCAGAAGUGCGAAUGCUGACAUAAGUAACGAUAAAGCGGGUGAAAAGCCCGCUCGCCGGAAGACCAAGGGUUCCUGUCCAACGUUAAUCGGGGCAGGGUGAGUCGACCCCUAAGGCGAGGCCGAAAGGCGUAGUCGAUGGGAAACAGG
Molecule: ribosomal RNA, 539 nt
Filed under: Klebsiella variicola
Lineage: Bacteria; Pseudomonadati; Pseudomonadota; Gammaproteobacteria; Enterobacterales; Enterobacteriaceae
Description: partial 23S ribosomal RNA
Rfam family: Bacterial large subunit ribosomal RNA
Source: RNAcentral